Molecule: long non-coding RNA, 205 nt
Filed under: Elaeis guineensis (African oil palm)
Lineage: Eukaryota; Viridiplantae; Streptophyta; Magnoliopsida; Arecales; Arecaceae
Description: long non-coding RNA (EGUI_LNC048653)
Source: RNAcentral
CCGAUGAUACUUGGGGUAAUUUUUUGACAUUCCUUCUUCUCUUUUUUUUUUGAUCUGGCUUGUUUUUCUUUUUCAGUGGGCACACGGUACGCAUGCUUUAGAGAGCGGAUAUCAAAAAAUUAUUGAUUUUCAUCGAUCGUGAAUGGAUAAGGUGACGGCCGCCAACACCGAAAAGACUACUGCGAUCGAACAACUGCAGGCGACA